RNAcentral lists this ribosomal RNA (729 nucleotides) under Kurthia zopfii. RNAcentral's name for it is "bacterial SSU rRNA". It matches the Rfam family "Bacterial small subunit ribosomal RNA", at positions 28 to 736 of the family's 1533-position model. Lineage: Bacteria; Bacillati; Bacillota; Bacilli; Caryophanales; Caryophanaceae. The record is from RNAcentral.
AACCGAACGCUGGCGGCGUGCCUAAUACAUGCAAGUCGAGCGAGAUUAUUUGAGUGCUUGCACUCAAAUAAUCUAGCGGCGGACGGGUGAGUAACACGUGGGCAACCUGCCCUACAGUUUGGGAUGAACUCCGGGAAACCGGGGCUAAUACCGAAUAAUCCUUCGAAUCACAUGGUUUGAAGUUGAAAGGCGCUUCGGCGUCGCUGUAGGAUGGGCCCGCGGUGCAUUAGCUAGUUGGUGGGGUAAUGGCCUACCAAGGCAACGAUGCAUAGCCGACCUGAGAGGGUGAUCGGCCACAUUGGGACUGAGACACGGCCCAAACUCCUACGGGAGGCAGCAGUAGGGAAUCUUCCACAAUGGACGAAAGUCUGAUGGAGCAACGCCGCGUGAGUGAUGAAGGUUUUCGGAUCGUAAAACUCUGUUGUAAGGGAAGAACAAGUGCGUUAGGUAAUGAACGCACCUUGACGGUACCUUAUUAGAAAGCCACGGCUAACUACGUGCCAGCAGCCGCGGUAAUACGUAGGUGGCAAGCGUUGUCCGGAUUUAUUGGGCGUAAAGCGCGCGCAGGUGGUUUCUUAAGUCUGAUGUGAAAGCCCACGGCUCAACCGUGGAGGGUCAUUGGAAACUGGGGAACUUGAGUGCAGAAGAGGAUAGUGGAAUUCCAAGUGUAGCGGUGAAAUGCGUAGAGAUUUGGAGGAACACCAGUGGCGAAGGCGACUGUCUGGUCUG